RNAcentral lists this ribosomal RNA (836 nucleotides) under uncultured bacterium. Its description in RNAcentral is "bacterial SSU rRNA". It matches the Rfam family "Bacterial small subunit ribosomal RNA", at positions 26 to 896 of the family's 1533-position model. The record is from RNAcentral.
GUAGAAACGUUGCCCGUGUCUACGCAUGCAGUCGAGCGAUUUACUUCGGUAAAGAGCGGCGGACGGGUGAGUAACGCGUGGGUAACCUGCCCUGUACACACGGAUAACAUACCGAAAGGUAUGCUAAUACGAGAUAAUAUGUUUUUAUCGCAUGGUAGAAGUAUCAAAGCUUUUGCGGUACAGGAUGGACCCGCGUCUGAUUAGCUAGUUGGUAAGGUAACGGCUUACCAAGGCGACGAUCAGUAGCCGACCUGAGAGGGUGAUCGGCCACAUUGGAACUGAGACACGGUCCAAACUCCUACGGGAGGCAGCAGUGGGGAAUAUUGCACAAUGGGCGAAAGCCUGAUGCAGCAACGCCGCGUGAGCGAUGAAGGCCUUCGGGUCGUAAAGCUCUGUCCUCAAGGAAGAUAAUGACGGUACUUGAGGAGGAAGCCCCGGCUAACUAUGUGCCAGCAGCCGCGGUAAUACGUAGGGGGCUAGCGUUAUCCGGAAUUACUGGGCGUAAAGGGUGCGUAGGUGGUUUCUUAAGUCAGAGGUGAAAGGCUACGGCUCAACCGUAGUAAGCCUUUGAAACUGGGAAACUUGAGUACAGGAGAGGAGAGUGGAAUUCCUGGUGUAGCGGUGAAAUGCGUAGAUAUUAGGAGGAACACCAGUUGCGAAGGCGGCUCUCUGGACUGUAACUGACACUGAGGCACGAAAGCGUGGGGAGCAAACAGGAUUAGAUACCCUGGUAGUCCACGCCGUAAACGAUGAGUACUAGCUGUCGGAGGUUACCCCCUUCGGUGGCGCAGCUAACGCAUUAAGUACUCCGCCUGGGAAGUACGCUCGCAAGAGUG